RNAcentral lists this ribosomal RNA (485 nucleotides) under uncultured Bacillota bacterium. Its description in RNAcentral is "bacterial SSU rRNA". It matches the Rfam family "Bacterial small subunit ribosomal RNA", at positions 8 to 496 of the family's 1533-position model. The record is from RNAcentral. Lineage: Bacteria; Bacillati; Bacillota.
AGAGUUUGAUCCUGGCUCAGGACGAACGCUGGCGGCGUGCCUAACACAUGCAAGUCGAGCGGUCCGGCAGCCAACUUAAGUUGGGAGCCGGAUAGCGGCGGACGGGUGAGUAACGCGUGGGCAACCUACCCUUAAGACCGGGAUAACACCUCGAAAGGGGUGCUAAUACUGGAUAAGCUCCUUGUAGGGCAUCCUAUGAGGAGGGAAGGUAGCGGGAGCUACCGCUUAAGGAUGGGCCCGCGUCCCAUCAGCUAGUUGGUAGGGUAACGGCCUACCAAGGCGACGACGGGUAGCCGGCCUGAGAGGGUGGUCGGCCACACUGGGACUGAGACACGGCCCAGACUCCUACGGGAGGCAGCAGUGGGGAAUCUUGCGCAAUGGGCGAAAGCCUGACGCAGCGACGCCGCGUGAGCGAGGAAGGCCUUCGGGUCGUAAAGCUCGAUAGUGUGGGAAGAAGGGAUGACGGUACCACACGAAAGCCCCGG